ACCAUCCCAGGCUUGACAUCCACAGCCAACUUUUUGUAGCUCAUGCAAAUCAUAUUUUCAUCACCUUUUAUACUAUAGUCAGUAGAUAUGCUGAUAUCUUGACCCUGUUUAAGCUGGAUGGGCUUGCCAUCCUUCAAGAACCCAGUUCGAAUCUCUGGUCCCUUGGUGUCAAGCAUGACAGCACAGAGAAUACCAGUGUUAACCAUGCCGGCCUUGAGAUUAUCAAGGGUUUCCUGGUGGUACUCAUGAGAUCCAUGAGA
This 260-nucleotide unclassified non-coding RNA is filed under the name Hevea brasiliensis (rubber tree). The record is from RNAcentral. Lineage: Eukaryota; Viridiplantae; Streptophyta; Magnoliopsida; Malpighiales; Euphorbiaceae.